Molecule: long non-coding RNA, 588 nt
Organism: Ornithodoros turicata
Lineage: Eukaryota; Metazoa; Arthropoda; Arachnida; Ixodida; Argasidae
Exons: 3
Source: RefSeq, a predicted model, not a curated record
CUUCCUUAGCUGUAGGUCUGCACCACAAACGGAAGGAAUCCGAUGACGUCACACUCUUCUCAUCACUUAGUCCCGACGGCGUGGAGGAUAGCGGAGCGAAAGAGAGAGCGCUGCCCUUUCGCCACGAUCACAGUAUCCAGGCACAGAUAACCGAUGGUUUGCACGUACUUGCUUCCGGGAAAUCGGGAAAAUAUACGAGCUUCCCUCUAGCUCAAAUUCAGCCAUUUUGGACCAGCUCUGUUGGGGAAGACGUUCACUGGAAAGCAUUGCAGAAACAAGUACCUUCGGAGAUUCAGGUAAUAUCCUAAGCACACAUAUUCAGCAUUAGGUGCUCUUCAUUUUGCAGGUAUAAUUGAACAGAAAGCCGGAACUUUUUUGGAAAUGUAAAUAAACAAAACUGCUCCUAUUGAGCUGAAAUAAACCACACAUAGUAAAAUAUUCUCAAUUUUUUGCAAGUGGGAUGGGAAUGGAAGGAGGGCCUUCAAAGCAUGGACUUCGAGAGCAGCAAGAGGUGCAAUGGUACACGAAAAACAAACGCCGAAACUUGGCUCAGAAAACACGUCUUGCCUUUUUUUUUCCAUGAUUGGU